GGUACAAAAAGAUGGAAACAAGUAUAUGUUUACACCAAAUAAUGUCAUGGAGAGCCCACGUAUGACUUGUACAUUAACAUGUAUACAUAUAUAUAUCCACCACCACCAAUAUGUCUAGUCUAGGGGAAAAAGUAACUUAUACAACACCAACUCCAUCAAUAAAUAGAAGAAAAUAUAUGUAAAAUCCAAACCUCCCCCAAGUAGAUGACAACUCUCUCUACACAUAGUUUAAAGAGGAUGUUUCUCCAAUUUAAAACCACUCACUGACCUGCUAGCCAAACCCCAUCAACUGAAGUUAAAUCCUCCCGAUGGAAGAGAUAUAUCGGCCCCUCCAAAUUCGAAUUGAUCUUCAUUUAAUGAAACCGGCACAUCUUCCUCCUCCAACCAAUAAGUUUCGAGGAUCUUCACUGCUUUCUCAUAGAUUUCAGUGUUGUCAUGGCUUUGGAGGUUUUCAAUCUUUUCUAGACCUUCAGCCUCGUCGAUUAACUGGGCAUAAACAUUCACGCCUUCUGUGUUUCCUAGAUCCUUAUCAGCUUCCCCAAUCUUCAGAAUAUUCUCAAGCCCUUCCAAGCAGACAGUGACAAUUCUUGGGUCAGGACAUACCAGAAGAUCACACAAUGGUUUUAUACAACCUUGGCUCACCAAGAACUUGAUUUGAUCAUGAUUUCCACCGGACGUAGCAUUUGAAAUUGCCCAAGCA
RNAcentral lists this unclassified non-coding RNA (700 nucleotides) under Hevea brasiliensis (rubber tree). Lineage: Eukaryota; Viridiplantae; Streptophyta; Magnoliopsida; Malpighiales; Euphorbiaceae. The record is from RNAcentral.